This 468-nucleotide ribosomal RNA is filed under the name uncultured bacterium. RNAcentral describes it as "partial 16S ribosomal RNA". It matches the Rfam family "Bacterial small subunit ribosomal RNA", at positions 28 to 507 of the family's 1533-position model. The record is from RNAcentral.
GACGAACGCUGGCGGCGUGCUUAACACAUGCAAGUCGAACGGAAAGGCCCUGCUUUUGUGGGGUGCUCGAGUGGCGAACGGGUGAGUAACACGUGAGUAACCUGCCCUUGACUUUGGGAUAACUUCAGGAAACUGGGGCUAAUACCGGAUAGGAGCUCCUGCUGCAUGGUGGGGGUUGGAAAGUUUCGGCGGUUGGGGAUGGACUCGCGGCUUAUCAGCUUGUUGGUGGGGUAGUGGCUUACCAAGGCUUUGACGGGUAGCCGGCCUGAGAGGGUGACCGGCCACAUGGGGACUGAGAGACGGCCCAGACUCCUACGGGAGGCAGCAGUGGGGAAUAUUGCACAAUGGGCGGAAGCGUGAGGCAGCAACGCCGCGUGCGGGAUGACGGCCUUCGGGUUGUAAACCGCUUUCGCCUGUGACGAAGCGUGAGUGACGGUAAUGGGUAAAGAAGCACCGGCUAACUACGUG